RNAcentral lists this long non-coding RNA (283 nucleotides) under Elaeis guineensis (African oil palm). RNAcentral describes it as "long non-coding RNA (EGUI_LNC012873)". The record is from RNAcentral. Lineage: Eukaryota; Viridiplantae; Streptophyta; Magnoliopsida; Arecales; Arecaceae.
CCGACGAGCUGCCUUAGCCUAAGUCCAACCAUCUAAAGCUCAAAUUUUUCUCUCUAACCCGCAAUUAUCCUAUUUUUAGCUCGAUAUAAUAUCUUUUUGAACCACUAGAAUUAACUGCUGCUGAUCGAGUUUUGCCGCCUCAGUUGAUUGUCAGUGAGCCCUCUUUCCUCCUAUUCCAUUCUCACUAGAAUUGAGCCCCAUUUUUCAAUCUAUUUUGAACUUAUUUUUAGCUCCUUUUGGCAUUGCUCUCAGGCCACCAUUGUUGUUGGACGUCAUCCAUGCC